GCCAGCCCGCUCAGAAACUCAAAGGAAUUGACGGGGGCCCGCACAAGCGGUGGAGCAUGUGGUUUAAUUCGAUGAUACGCGAGGAACCUUACCUGGGCUCAAAUGUAUGUUGACGUAUUCUGAAAGGGAUACUUCUUCGGACAAUAUACAAGGUGCUGCAUGGUUGUCGUCAGCUCGUGCCGUGAGGUGUCGGGUUAAGUCCCAUAACGAGCGCAACCCCUAUCAUUAGUUGCCAUCAGGUCAAGCUGGGGACUCUAAUGAAACUGCCUACGCAAGUAGUGAGGAAGGUGGGGAUGACGUCAAAUCAGCACGGCCCUUACGUCCAGGGCUACACACGUGCUACAAUGGUCGGUACAAAGGGUUGCCAAGCCGCGAGGUGGAGCUAAUCCCAUAAAACCGAUCGUAGUCCGGAUCGCAGUCUGCAACUCGACUGCGUGAAGUCGGAAUCGCUAGUAAUCGUGAAUCAGAAUGUCACGGUGAAUACGUUCCCGGGCCUU
RNAcentral lists this ribosomal RNA (497 nucleotides) under uncultured Sphingobacteriales bacterium. RNAcentral describes it as "bacterial SSU rRNA". It matches the Rfam family "Bacterial small subunit ribosomal RNA", at positions 885 to 1382 of the family's 1533-position model. The record is from RNAcentral. Lineage: Bacteria; Pseudomonadati; Bacteroidota; Sphingobacteriia; Sphingobacteriales.